UAGUAAUGUAUGGUGCAGGUAGAGUUGAGGUUGGGAUCAGGGAGGUAGCUGUAGUAAUGUAUGGUGCAGGUAGAGUUGAGGUUGGGAUCAGGGAGGUAGCUGUAGUAAUGUAUGGUGCAGGUAGAGUUGAGGUUGGGAUCAGGGAGGUAGCUGUAGUAAUGUAUGGUGCAGGUAGAGUUGAGGUUGGGAUCAGGGAGGUAGCUGUAGUAAUGUAUGGUGCAGGUAGAGUUGAGGUUGGGAUCAGGGAGGUAGCUGUAGUAAUGUAUGGUGCAGGUAGAGUUGAGGUUGGGAUCAGGGAGGUAGCUGUAGUAAUGUAUGGUGCAGGUAGAGUUGAGGUUGGGAUCAGGGAGGUAGCUGUAGUAAUGUAUGGUGCAGGUAGAGUUGAGGUUGGGAUCAGGGAGCUAGCUGUAGUAAUGUAUGGUGCAGGUAGAGUUGAGGUUGGGAUCAGGGAGGUAGCUGUAGUAAUGUAUGGUGCAGGUAGAGUUGAGGUUGGGAUCAGGGAGCUAGCUGUAGUAAUGUAUGGUGCAGGUAGAGUUGAGGUUGGGAUCAGGGAGGUAACUGUAGUAAUGUAUGGUGCAGGUAGAGUUGAGGUUGGGAUCAGGGAGGUAACUGUAGUAAUGUAUGGUGCAGGUAGAGUUGAGGUUGGGAUCAGGGAGGUAGCUGUAGUAAUGUAUGGUGCAGGUAGAGUUGAGGUUGGGAUCAGGGAGGUAGCUGUAGUAAUGUAUGGUGCAGGUAGAGUUGAGGUUGGGAUCA
This is a long non-coding RNA of Oncorhynchus keta (chum salmon), 753 nucleotides long. RefSeq lists it as uncharacterized. NCBI's taxonomy places the organism in Eukaryota, Metazoa, Chordata, Actinopteri, Salmoniformes, Salmonidae. The record is from RefSeq and is a predicted model, not a curated record. The transcript is spliced from 3 exons.